AAUGAACGCUGGCGGCGCGCCUAAUACAUGCAAGUCGAGCGAGAAGACGUAGCAAUACGUUUGUAAAGCGGCGAACGGGUGAGGAAUACAUGGGUAACCUACCCUCGAGUGGGGAAUAACUAGCCGAAAGGUUAGCUAAUACCGCGUACGCUUCUUGGACUUCGGUUCAGGGAGGAAAGCGAUACCGUGGGUAUCGCGCUCUUGGAUGGGCUCAUGUCCUAUCAGCUUGUUGGGAGGUACGGCUCACCAAGGCUUCGACGGGUAGCUGGUCUGAGAGGACGAUCAGCCACACUGGCACUGCGAC
RNAcentral lists this ribosomal RNA (304 nucleotides) under uncultured bacterium. Its description in RNAcentral is "bacterial SSU rRNA". It matches the Rfam family "Bacterial small subunit ribosomal RNA", at positions 29 to 325 of the family's 1533-position model. The record is from RNAcentral.